UGUUAAAAUUUUCAUUCAUUUCUACAGUUAAAAACUGGCAUGACUAAUAGAAUAACCGAAUAAUGACAUGUGGCGUGCCAUUGUACUUUAUUUUGACAUACAGGACCAGUUUUUAGUAGUAGAAAUUGAUGAAAUUUUUAACA
Non-coding RNA from Gossypium hirsutum (cotton), 143 nucleotides. Lineage: Eukaryota; Viridiplantae; Streptophyta; Magnoliopsida; Malvales; Malvaceae. The record is from Rfam.